GUAGAGCCAUUUUUGAACAAAGAAAAAAUAACUCUUGUUUUAUUCGAUUAUGCGUUUUGUAACUUGGAGAACUAUAUUUGCUGGUGGUUCAAUUAUGUUUGGCAAUCAUACGCGCUUAUGUUUCAAGUUAUCCCAGCUGGAAUUGGAUGCGAUUGUAUCUUUCUUAUUCUUACUGGAUACGUUUAUAACGCAUGUAUUAUGUUUACAACUGCUUUGGUGAAGUUGAACACCGAAGAUGUGGAAUAUCGCAAGUAUUUUUUGAAGCAAGCUGUUAACCAACACGACUUGAUUAUAACAUUUGUAAAUUAUAUUGAUGAUGUGUUUACUACCAUGAUGGUAAUACAAUUUUGGUGUUCUCUAUGGUCAAUGAUUUUGUUUUUAAAUAUGAUAGUGGCCAAUGGACUACCACCAAAAAUAGAAGAAGUGAUGUAUUAUGGACUGAUUUACAUGAUAUUUGUCUUUGAGUUGUUUCUAUAUUCAUUUUGUGGAGCCAUAAUUGAAGGAAAAAUUAGAAAUUUAGCAAAUGAUAUUUUUUUGCAAGUUAACUGGUAUGAUCAAGGAAGAACCAACUUGAGAAAGGAUUUAUCCUUGAUGAUUUUCCGUGCCCAAAACUCAAAAAUUUUGAGUGCAGGAAAAAUGUCGGAUUUAAAUUUACCACUCUGGAUUGCCACAAUGAAAAAUUCGUUAUCCGUGUUUACGUUAAUUUGGCAACUCUCACAAGAGCAAGGACACGGUACAUCAUUGUAAAUAAAUAGUUACUAUAAUAAGGAAUUUUACGUACAUAAUGAAUAUGUUACUUUAUACAUUUUUAAAAUAUACUUAGAAUAUUAAA
Dalotia coriaria is the source of this 832-nucleotide long non-coding RNA. RefSeq lists it as uncharacterized. NCBI's taxonomy places the organism in Eukaryota, Metazoa, Arthropoda, Insecta, Coleoptera, Staphylinidae. The transcript has 4 exons. The record is from RefSeq and is a predicted model, not a curated record.